This 440-nucleotide ribosomal RNA is filed under the name uncultured bacterium. Its description in RNAcentral is "partial 16S ribosomal RNA". It matches the Rfam family "Bacterial small subunit ribosomal RNA", at positions 338 to 795 of the family's 1533-position model. The record is from RNAcentral.
CCUACGGGAGGCAGCAGUGGGGAAUAUUGCACAAUGGGGGAAAGCCUGAUGCAGCGACGCCGCGUGAGGGAAGAAGGAUCUCGGUACGUAAAGCUCUAUCAGCAGGGAAGAAAAUGACGUUUCCUGACUAACAAUCCGCGGCUAACUCCGUGCCAGCAGCCGCGGUAUUACGUAGUGGGCAAGCGUUAGCCGGAUUUACUGGGGGGAAAGGGAGCGUAGACGGUAGCGCAAGACGGGAGUGAAAUCCCGGGGCUCAACCUCGGAACUGCUUUGGAAACUGGGCGACUGGAGUGCAGGAGGGGUAAGCGGAAGUCCUAGUGUAGCAGUGAAAUGCGUAGAUAUGAGGAGGAACACCAGUGGCGAAGGCGACUUACUGGAAUGUAACUGACGCUGAGGCGCGAAAGCGUGGGUAGCAAACAGGAUUAGAUACCCGUGUAGUC